AGAAUGAACCGGCGAGUUACGAUCCCGUGCGAGGUUAAGCUGAAGAGGCGGAGCCGCAGCGAAAGCGAGUCUGAAUAGGGCGUUUAGUACGUGGUCGUAGACCCGAAACCAGGUGAUCUACCCAUGUCCAGGGUGAAGUUCAGGUAACACUGAAUGGAGGCCCGAACCCACGCACGUUGAAAAGUGCGGGGAUGAGGUGUGGGUAGCGGAGAAAUUCCAAUCGAACCUGGAGAUAGCUGGUUCUCCCCGAAAUAGCUUUAGGGCUAGCCUUAAGUGUAAGAGUCUUGGAGGUAGAGCACUGAUUGGACUAGGGGUCCUCAUCGGAUUACCGAAUUCAGUCAAACUCCGAAUGCCAAUGACUUAUCCUUAGGAGUCAGACUGCGAGUGAUAAGAUCCGUAGUCAAAAGGGAAACAGCCCAGACCGCCAGCUAAGGUCCCAAAGUGUGUAUUAAGUGGAAAAGGAUGUGGAGUUGCUUAGACAACUAGGAUGUUGGCUUAGAAGCAGCCACCAUUUAAAGAGUGCGUAAUAGCUCACUAGUCGAGUGACUCUGCGCCGAAAAUGUACCGGGGCUAAAUACACCACCGAAGCUGCGGAUUGAUACCAAUGGUAUCAGUGGUAGGGGAGCGUUCUAAGGACAGUGAAGUCAGACCGGAAGGACUGGUGGAGUGCUUAGAAGUGAGAAUGCCGGUAUGAGUAGCGAAAGACGGGUGAGAAUCCCGUCCACCGAAUGCCUAAGGUUUCCUGAGGAAGGCUCGUCCGCUCAGGGUUAGUCAGGACCUAAGCCGAGGCCGACAGGCGUAGGCGAUGGACAACAGGUUGAUAUUCCUGUACCACCUCUUUAUCGUUUGAGCAAUGGAGGGACGCAGAAGGAUAGAAGAAGCGUGCGAUUGGUUGUGCACGUCCAAGCAGUUAGGCUGAUAAGUAGGCAAAUCCGCUUAUCGUGAAGGCUGAGCUGUGAUGGGGAAGCUCCUUAUGGAGCGAAGUCUUUGAUUCCCCGCUGCCAAGAAAAGCUUCUAGCGAGAUAAAAGGUGCCUGUACCGCAAACCGACACAGGUAGGCGAGGAGAGAAUCCUAAGGUGUGCGAGAGAACUCUGGUUAAGGAACUCGGCAAAAUGACCCCGUAACUUCGGGAGAAGGGGUGCUUUCUUAACGGAAAGCCGCAGUGAAUAGGCCCAAGCGACUGUUUAGCAAAAACACAGCUCUCUGCGAAGCCGUAAGGCGAAGUAUAGGGGGUGACACCUGCCCGGUGCUGGAAGGUUAAGGAGAGGGGUUAGCGUAAGCGAAGCUCUGAACUGAAGCCCCAGUAAACGGCGGCCGUAACUAUAACGGUCCUAAGGUAGCGAAAUUCCUUGUCGGGUAAGUUCCGACCCGCACGAAAGGUGUAACGAUUUGGGCACUGUCUCAACCAGAGACUCGGUGAAAUUAUAGUACCUGUGAAGAUGCAGGUUACCCGCGACAGGACGGAAAGACCCCGUGGAGCUUUACUGUAGCCUGAUAUUGAAUUUUGGUACAGUUUGUACAGGAUAGGCGGGAGCCUUUGAAACCGGAGCGCUAGCUUCGGUGGAGGCGCUGGUGGGAUACCGCCCUGACUGUAUUGAAAUUCUAACCUACGGGUCUUAUCGACCCGGGAGACAGUGUCAGGUGGGCAGUUUGACUGGGGCGGUCGCCUCCUAAAGUGUAACGGAGGCGCCCAAAGGUUCCCUCAGAAUGGUUGGAAAUCAUUCGUAGAGUGCAAAGGCAUAAGGGAGCUUGACUGCGAGACCUACAAGUCGAGCAGGGACGAAAGUCGGGCUUAGUGAUCCGGUGGUUCCGCAUGGAAGGGCCAUCGCUCAACGGAUAAAAGCUACCCCGGGGAUAACAGGCUUAUCUCCCCCAAGAGUCCACAUCGACGGGGAGGUUUGGCACCUCGAUGUCGGCUCAUCGCAUCCUGGGGCUGUAGUCGGUCCCAAGGGUUGGGCUGUUCGCCCAUUAAAGCGGUACGCGAGCUGGGUUCAGAACGUCGUGAGACAGUUCGGUCCCUAUCCGUCGUGGGCGUAGGAAAUUUGAGAGGAGCUGUCCUUAGUACGAGAGGACCGGGAUGGACGCACCGCUGGUGUACCAGUUGUUCUGCCAAGGGCAUAGCUGGGUAGCUAUGUGCGGAAGGGAUAAGUGCUGAAAGCAUCUAAGCAUGAAGCCCCCCUCAAGAUGAGAUUUCCCAUAGCGUAAGCUAGUAAGAUCCCUGAAAGAUGAUCAGGUUGAUAGGUUCGAGGUGGAAGCAUGGUGACAUGUGGAGCUGACGAAUACUAAUAGAUCG
This 2294-nucleotide ribosomal RNA is filed under the name Bacillus anthracis (anthrax bacterium). RNAcentral's name for it is "partial 23S ribosomal RNA". It matches the Rfam family "Bacterial large subunit ribosomal RNA", at positions 612 to 2911 of the family's 2925-position model. The record is from RNAcentral. RNAcentral also lists the same sequence under 1 other name. Lineage: Bacteria; Bacillati; Bacillota; Bacilli; Caryophanales; Bacillaceae.